Molecule: ribosomal RNA, 446 nt
Filed under: uncultured bacterium
Lineage: Bacteria
Description: bacterial SSU rRNA
Rfam family: Bacterial small subunit ribosomal RNA
Source: RNAcentral
UGCCAGACUCCUACGGGAGGCAGCAGUGGGGAAUAUUGCACAAUGGGGGAAACCCUGAUGCAGCGACGCCGCGUGAGUGAAGAAGUAUUUCGGUAUGUAAAGCUCUAUCAGCAGGGAAGAAAAUGACGGUACCUGACUAAGAAGCCCCGGCUAACUACGUGCCAGCAGCCGCGGUAAUACGUAGGGGGCAAGCGUUAUCCGGAUUUACUGGGUGUAAAGGGAGCGUAGACGGCAUGGCAAGUCAGAUGUGAAAGCCCGGGGCUCAACCCCGGGACUGCAUUUGAAACUGUCAGGCUGGAGUGCAGGAGAGGUAAGUGGAAUUCCUAGUGUAGCGGUGAAAUGCGUAGAUAUUAGGAGGAACACCAGUGGCGAAGGCGGCCUGCUGGACGAUGACUGACGUUGAGGCUCGAAAGCGUGGGGAGCAAACAGGAUUAGAUACCCUAGUA